GUUGCAGUAGGUCAGACAGAAGUAGUAGCCCAAGCCCAAAUAGUAGCCCAAGCCGGAGCAGGAGCAGGAGCCCUCGUAAUUUUAGGUGGGAUUCAAGAACCAGUGAUAGAUGUGGAAUGAGAGCAGCAUGUAGAUAUUUUCCUUAUGGGAAAUGCAGAAGAGGAAGUAAAUGUCUCUUCCUUCACGGUGACAAUAAAAAAAUUGAUGACAGCAGGGUAAGUUCACGCAGGCAAGAUGGAUCUCUCUUAUAUUCUAGUC
This 258-nucleotide small RNA is filed under the name Vigna angularis var. angularis. RNAcentral's name for it is "Non-protein coding transcript". The record is from RNAcentral. Lineage: Eukaryota; Viridiplantae; Streptophyta; Magnoliopsida; Fabales; Fabaceae.